CAAACCUUCAGCACGGGGAAGUUGUUCUCAUUCACCUCUCUGUUUAUUUUCCAGCUCUUAUCCUAUCAGCUGAAGUGAAUCAAGGUGGGAGGAGGUGAAGCAAUUGGAACAGGCAGUUUUUAAGGCUGCGCUGAGUAUAAGGGGAGUUAAGUGGAGAUAUGCCCCAAACAGAACCAGUGGACCUGGUGUCACACCUAACAGUUGUGUGAAGCAGCGCCCUAUCCCCUGGUAUUGCCAGGAGGAGCCGUGGAAGGAGGAAAUUCAAAGAGGAGGUAUGGCAUGGUCCUUGCCCAGUACCCUUCUUGCUCCAGGCAGUCUGUGGUUUAUGGACUUCCCAAAGCAGAGGCUGCCUCCAGACCAG
This 361-nucleotide long non-coding RNA is filed under the name Gallus gallus (chicken). RNAcentral's name for it is "long non-coding RNA NONGGAT005854". Lineage: Eukaryota; Metazoa; Chordata; Aves; Galliformes; Phasianidae. The record is from RNAcentral.